UACGAAGGACCCGAGCGUUAUCCGGAUUUAUUGGGUUUAAAGGGUGCGUAGGCGGACUAGUAAGUCAGUGGUGAAAGCCCAUCGCUUAACGGUGGAACUGCCAUUGAUACUGCUAGUCUUGAGUAUGGUUGAGGUGGGCGGAAUGUGUCAUGUAGCGGUGAAAUGCUUAGAUAUGACCCAGAACACCAAUUGCGAAGGCAGCUCGCUAAGCCAUAACUGACGCUGAUGGCACGAAAAGCGUGGGGGAGCAAAACAGG
RNAcentral lists this ribosomal RNA (257 nucleotides) under uncultured bacterium. RNAcentral describes it as "partial 16S ribosomal RNA". It matches the Rfam family "Bacterial small subunit ribosomal RNA", at positions 524 to 776 of the family's 1533-position model. The record is from RNAcentral.